This 465-nucleotide ribosomal RNA is filed under the name uncultured bacterium. RNAcentral's name for it is "bacterial SSU rRNA". It matches the Rfam family "Bacterial small subunit ribosomal RNA", at positions 338 to 795 of the family's 1533-position model. RNAcentral also lists the same sequence under 1 other name. The record is from RNAcentral.
CCUACGGGCGGCAGCAGUGGGGAAUAUUGCGCAAUGGGCGAAAGCCUGACGCAGCGACGCCGCGUGAGGGAUGAAGGUUUUCGGAUCGUAAACCUCUGUCAGAAGGGAAGAAACCGCACCGUGCUAAUCAGCGGUGUCUUGACGGUACCUUCAAAGGAAGCACCGGCUAACUCCGUGCCAGCAGCCGCGGUAAUACGGAGGGUGCAAGCGUUAAUCGGAAUUACUGGGCGUAAAGCGCACGUAGGCUGCUUUGUAAGUCAGGGGUGAAAUCCCACGGCUCAACCGUGGAACUGCCUUUGAUACUGCUUAGCUUGAAUCCGGGAGAGGGUGGCGGAAUUCCAGGUGUAGGAGUGAAAUCCGUAGAUAUCUGGAAGAACACCGAUGGCGAAGGCGGUCUGCUGGCUUGUAACUGACCCUCAGGGACGAGAGCGUGGGUAGCAAACAGGAUUAGAUACCCUAGUAGUC